UAAUGUGGUUUAAUGGGAUGCGACGGGAAAAACCUUACCUACCCUUGACAUGCCAGGAACCUGGAAGAGAUUUCGGGGUGCUCGCAAGAGAGCCUGGACACAGGUGCUGCAUGGCUGUCGUCAGCUCGUGUCGUCAGAUGUUGGGUUAAGUCCCGCAACGAGCGCAACCCUUGCCAUUAGUUGCUACGGAUAGGGCACUCUAAUGGGACUGCCGGUGACAAACCGGAGGAAGGUGGGGAUGACGUCAAGUCCUCAUGGCCCUUAUGGGUAGGGCUACACACGUCAUACAAUGGCCGGUACAGAGGGCAGCCAACCCGCGAGGGGGAGCCAAUCCCAGAAAACCGGUCGUAGUCCGGAUUGCAGUCUGCAACUCGACUGCAUGAAGUCGGAAUCGCUAGUAAUCGCGGAUCAGCAUGCCGCGGUGAAUACGUUCCCGGGUCUUGUACACACCGCCCGUCACACCAUGGGAGCGGGUUCCGCCAGAAGUAGGUAGCCUAACCGCAAGGAGGGCGCUUACCACGGCGGGGUUCGUGACUGGGGUGAAGUCGUAACAAGGUA
Molecule: ribosomal RNA, 558 nt
Filed under: uncultured bacterium
Lineage: Bacteria
Description: bacterial SSU rRNA
Rfam family: Bacterial small subunit ribosomal RNA
Source: RNAcentral